GAGGUUAAGCGACUAAGCGUACACGGUGGAUGCCCUGGCAGUCAGAGGCGAUGAAGGACGUGCUAAUCUGCGAUAAGCGUCGGUAAGGUGAUAUGAACCGUUAUAACCGGCGAUUUCCGAAUGGGGAAACCCAGUGUGAUUCGUCACACUAUCAUUAACUGAAUCCAUAGGUUAAUGAGGCGAACCGGGGGAACUGAAACAUCUAAGUACCCCGAGGAAAAGAAAUCAACCGAGAUUCCCCCAGUAGCGGCGAGCGAACGGGGAGCAGCCCAGAGCCUGAAUCAGUGUGUGUGUUAGUGGAAGCGUCUGGAAAGGCGCGCGAUACAGGGUGACAGCCCCGUACACAAAAAUGCACAUACUGUGAGCUCGAUGAGUAGGGCGGGACACGUGGUAUCCUGUCUGAAUAUGGGGGGACCAUCCUCCAAGGCUAAAUACUCCUGACUGACCGAUAGUGAACCAGUACCGUGAGGGAAAGGCGAAAAGAACCCCGGCGAGGGGAGUGAAAAAGAACCUGAAACCGUGUACGUACAAGCAGUGGGAGCACGCUUAGGCGUGUGACUGCGUACCUUUUGUAUAAUGGGUCAGCGACUUAUAUUCUGUAGCAAGGUUAACCGAAUAGGGGAGCCGAAGGGAAACCGAGUCUUAACUGGGCGUUAAGUUGCAGGGUAUAGACCCGAAACCCGGUGAUCUAGCCAUGGGCAGGUUGAAGGUUGGGUAACACUAACUGGAGGACCGAACCGACUAAUGUUGAAAAAUUAGCGGAUGACUUGUGGCUGGGGGUGAAAGGCCAAUCAAACCGGGAGAUAGCUGGUUCUCCCCGAAAGCUAUUUAGGUAGCGCCUCGUGAAUUCAUCUCCGGGGGUAGAGCACUGUUUCGGCAAGGGGGUCAUCCCGACUUACCAACCCGAUGCAAACUGCGAAUACCGGAGAAUGUUAUCACGGGAGACACACGGCGGGUGCUAACGUCCGUCGUGAAGAGGGAAACAACCCAGACCGCCAGCUAAGGUCCCAAAGUCAUGGUUAAGUGGGAAACGAUGUGGGAAGGCCCAGACAGCCAGGAUGUUGGCUUAGAAGCAGCCAUCAUUUAAAGAAAGCGUAAUAGCUCACUGGUCGAGUCGGCCUGCGCGGAAGAUGUAACGGGGCUAAACCAUGCACCGAAGCUGCGGCAGCGACGCUGAUGCGUUGUUGGGUAGGGGAGCGUUCUGUAAGCCUGUGAAGGUGUGCUGUGAGGCAUGCUGGAGGUAUCAGAAGUGCGAAUGCUGACAUAAGUAACGAUAAAGCGGGUGAAAAGCCCGCUCGCCGGAAGACCAAGGGUUCCUGUCCAACGUUAAUCGGGGCAGGGUGAGUCGACCCCUAAGGCGAGGCCGAAAGGCGUAGUCGAUGGGAAACAGGUUAAUAUUCCUGUACUUGGUGUUACUGCGAAGGGGGGACGGAGAAGGCUAUGUUGGCCGGGCGACGGUUGUCCCGGUUUAAGCGUGUAGGCUGGUUUUCCAGGCAAAUCCGGAAAAUCAAGGCUGAGGCGUGAUGACGAGGCACUACGGUGCUGAAGCAACAAAUGCCCUGCUUCCAGGAAAAGCCUCUAAGCAUCAGGUAACAUCAAAUCGUACCCCAAACCGACACAGGUGGUCAGGUAGAGAAUACCAAGGCGCUUGAGAGAACUCGGGUGAAGGAACUAGGCAAAAUGGUGCCGUAACUUCGGGAGAAGGCACGCUGAUAUGUAGGUGAAGCGACUUGCUCGUGGAGCUGAAAUCAGUCGAAGAUACCAGCUGGCUGCAACUGUUUAUUAAAAACACAGCACUGUGCAAACACGAAAGUGGACGUAUACGGUGUGACGCCUGCCCGGUGCCGGAAGGUUAAUUGAUGGGGUCAGCGCAAGCGAAGCUCUUGAUCGAAGCCCCGGUAAACGGCGGCCGUAACUAUAA
Molecule: ribosomal RNA, 1921 nt
Filed under: Escherichia coli
Lineage: Bacteria; Pseudomonadati; Pseudomonadota; Gammaproteobacteria; Enterobacterales; Enterobacteriaceae
Description: partial 23S ribosomal RNA
Rfam family: Bacterial large subunit ribosomal RNA
Source: RNAcentral